RNAcentral lists this unclassified non-coding RNA (297 nucleotides) under Glomus sp. Its description in RNAcentral is "partial contains 5.8S ribosomal RNA and internal transcribed spacer 2". The stretch from base 1 to 65 matches the Rfam family "5.8S ribosomal RNA", at positions 84 to 154 of the family's 154-position model. Lineage: Eukaryota; Fungi; Glomeromycota; Glomeromycetes; Glomerales; Glomeraceae. The record is from RNAcentral.
GUGAAUCAUCGAAUUUUUGAACGCAAAUUGCACUCUCUUCUGAUAGUAUGCCUGUUUGAGUGUCAGCCUAAAAAAAAAUCGACAUAGUGGCUGUUUCUCUUUUACAUUCGUCUGAAAUUGGGUCAUCUUAAACCUUUUGGUUUAAGCGGCUUAAAAUUUUCUUUACGAUUCCACGAACGUGUCUAAUAUUUUACUUCUUACACGUUUAAUUUAUCGAUCUUUAUUAUACGUGGCCGUUGCAUCUGAUCACGCCCAUAAAUAUUUCGUUAACUGACCUCAUACAGUUAAUCACACCCU